CUUUUCUCGUAUCAGUGUUCGCUGACCACGAGUCACCGUAGGUGCGAAGGGAACCGUGUAACGUGCCGCCUGGGAGUACGGUCGCAAGGCUGAACUUAAAGGAAUUGGCGGGGGAGCACCACAACGGGUGGAGCCUGCGGUUUAAUUGGACUCAACGCCGGAAAUCUCACCGGAGUGACAGCCUGAAUGAUUGCCGGGCUGAUAGACUUUGCUUGACUAGCUGAGAGGGGGUGCAUGG
RNAcentral lists this ribosomal RNA (238 nucleotides) under uncultured Methanoculleus sp. RNAcentral's name for it is "partial 16S ribosomal RNA". It matches the Rfam family "Archaeal small subunit ribosomal RNA", at positions 752 to 997 of the family's 1478-position model. Lineage: Archaea; Methanobacteriati; Methanobacteriota; Methanomicrobia; Methanomicrobiales; Methanomicrobiaceae. The record is from RNAcentral.